UCCAGACUCCUACGGGAGGCAGCAGUGGGGGAUAUUGCACAAUGGGGGAAACCCUGAUGCAGCGACGCCGCGUGAGUGAAGAAGUAUUUCGGUAUGUAAAGCUCUAUCAGCAGGGAAGAAAAAAGACGGUACCUGACUAAGAAGCCCCGGCUAACUACGUGCCAGCAGCCGCGGUAAUACGUAGGGGGCAAGCGUUAUCCGGAUUUACUGGGUGUAAAGGGAGCGUAGACGGCAAUACAAGUCGGAAGUGAAAUACCCGGGCUCAACCUGGGAACUGCUUUGGAAACUGUAUGGCUGGAGUGCUGGAGAGGUAAGCGGAAUUCCUAGUGUAGCGGUGAAAUGCGUAGAUAUUAGGAGGAACACCAGUGGCGAAGGCGGCUUACUGGACAGUAACUGACGUUGAGGCUCGAAAGCGUGGGGAGCAAACAGGAUUAGAUACCCCGGUAAA
Molecule: ribosomal RNA, 448 nt
Filed under: uncultured bacterium
Lineage: Bacteria
Description: bacterial SSU rRNA
Rfam family: Bacterial small subunit ribosomal RNA
Source: RNAcentral